GGACAGGUAGCUGGCACCAGUAAUCCAGAGUGUGACAAGGAGAAGUCCUGAGAGCUUACUGCCACCAAUACAGUACUUCAAGAACCACAAACUUUGAAAAUCAAGACCUGGACAAAAACUUGCAUUUGAAUACCCAUCCUUACCUAAAUUCAUCCGCUCACUAUAGAGAUGUUCCAAUGAUCGACAUUCAUCAUCUGUACCAAGCGUUUCUUUAAAGAGAAUAUUUUCUGCAUCUGAUUCAGAGAAUGAGAGAGCCGUACCCUGUGUAACUUUAGCCAAAUUGGUAAUGUCGCCGUAUCGAUCACUCUCCUGUGAUCCUCCUUCAGCCAUAUCAUGCAAUUAAAAACAACUGAACAUAGAGAUGACGGAAAAAUACUACGGAUGGCUAUGUCAUUAUGCAUGGACGUCAGUCUUCUGGUUCCAGCUGCUGCCAGCACAGGGGGAUGUACGGG
Long non-coding RNA from Pseudophryne corroboree (corroboree frog), 452 nucleotides. RefSeq lists it as uncharacterized. The record is from RefSeq and is a predicted model, not a curated record. The transcript is spliced from 3 exons. NCBI's taxonomy places the organism in Eukaryota, Metazoa, Chordata, Amphibia, Anura, Myobatrachidae.